RNAcentral lists this ribosomal RNA (248 nucleotides) under uncultured bacterium. Its description in RNAcentral is "partial 16S ribosomal RNA". It matches the Rfam family "Bacterial small subunit ribosomal RNA", at positions 107 to 353 of the family's 1533-position model. The record is from RNAcentral.
UGAGUAAUGUCUGGGAAACUGCCUGAUGGAGGGGGGAGUAACUACUGGAAACGGUAGCUAAUACCGCAUAACGUCGCAAGACCAAAGAGGGGGACCUUCGGGCCUCUUGCCAUCGGAUGUGCCCAGAUGGGAUUAGCUAGUAGGUGGGGUAACGGCUCACCUAGGCGACGAUCCCUAGCUGGUCUGAGAGGAUGACCAGCCACACUGGAACUGAGACACGGCCCAGACUCCUACGGGGAGGCAGCAUG